GACAGGUGACAGAUUGUGUGGUCUAGGCCUCCUCCCCAGAAGCCAGCUGCUUUCUCACAGGUUGUCCAUCUCCCAAGGGUACAUGUCCUCCCAGAGCCGUGUUGUCUUGACUGAACCCUAUUUUUUGUAUUUUAGGAGUCUGACAGUUUUUAGGUUUCCCUUUUAUAAGUAUAUCUGCCUGGAUUUCCUUACAGCUCUGUCCAUCAGCCUCCCCAAAGCAACUCCCCUCCUUCUUGCUGUUCACUGUUUGAUUGACUGUACUCCACAUUUGUUUUCACUCUGUGUGAAAAUCCCCCUACUUUUCUUUCCUUUCAUCUCUGUUCUUCCUCUCCUUCAUGUCUUUUGGACAACAUGUUUUUGUCUCAUGGUUCCAACCAAGUAAGCUCUUCAUCUGUUCAAAUACAAAAUAGGAAAAAAG
Molecule: long non-coding RNA, 418 nt
Filed under: Rattus norvegicus (Norway rat)
Lineage: Eukaryota; Metazoa; Chordata; Mammalia; Rodentia; Muridae
Description: long non-coding RNA NONRATT023015
Source: RNAcentral